UGGUGGCGCGAUUUGUCUGGUUAAUUCCGAUAACGAACGAGACUCUGGCCUAUUAAAUAGUUCGCCGAUUCCGAUCUGUCGGCGUUAACUUCUUAGAGGGACAAGUGGCUUUUAGCCACGCGAGAUUGAGCAAUAACA
RNAcentral lists this ribosomal RNA (138 nucleotides) under uncultured eukaryote. RNAcentral describes it as "partial 18S ribosomal RNA". It matches the Rfam family "Eukaryotic small subunit ribosomal RNA", at positions 1299 to 1458 of the family's 1831-position model. The record is from RNAcentral.